RNAcentral lists this long non-coding RNA (1012 nucleotides) under Phasianus colchicus (ring-necked pheasant). Its description in RNAcentral is "lncRNA (ENSPCLG00000006315.1)". Lineage: Eukaryota; Metazoa; Chordata; Aves; Galliformes; Phasianidae. The record is from RNAcentral.
AUGAAGAGUAGGUCAGCAAGGACUAGUGCCAAAUGCAGGAAGAGGAGGAGUCAUUUUGUCCAAUCUUUACUUUGCAACUGUUACCAAUGGGUUCUGUGGGUGAUUUCAGAAAAUGAACAGAAGAUACAUCAGAUCUCUCCUGUACUUUGCAGAAACCACUGCCUAUGGACUUGCAGUAAACAUUCAAGUGAUUCAAGCCUCUUUAAGGACUGUGAAUUUCUUGUGAAAAAUUCUUGUCUGAAACCUAUUUUUCUAAAGAACAGUUUUCUGGGACAUCUUUCACCCAACAUCUCAUUGCUCAGACUGCCACAGAUAUUUAAUGUUUUUACUGAGCAGGGACAAAGUCUGCUUACAGAAUUGUAUGUGACAUAAGCUGGAACAUAAUUUGGAUAACCACCAAUGUGGAGAAAGGUGAGAACUUCAUGUUGACUAGUGUGGCAAUCUUAAACCCAUAGAAUUGGGAAAUAUGGCUUGGUGGAAUGAUGAAGGCAAUGCAGAAUAAGUUCUGAUUCAGAGGAGCAGGGUUAAUCAGUAGGAAUGGGAAUAAGUGAAAGAAAUGUUGGAGUUCUGGGAUUGUGAGGUUGAAGAGAAUGAAGGAGGAAGAACAGAGAUUUUCAGCUGAACAGCUUAUAUGAUACAAAGUUGGAAGAGUUCUAAUAUAUUAACUUAUUUCAAAGGUAGUCUUAAUUUGAUGUAUGCAGCAUCAGAGCUCUGGUUCCAGCACUAGAUACUCUUGUAGCUCUGUAGAGCCUUGAUAAAAAUACAUCUCAUAGAAGGGGAGAGUAUAAGAACAUUUGUGUUCUGCUUUGUGAUGAAAUGAGGAGCACUAAAUUAGGGCCAGGCUUUGGGCGUUCAUACAUUAAUCAGUUCACCUGCAAUUUCUAUUAUUAAUGUUUUUUCUUAUUUCUAAGUAACUGUUCAAUAGAUAAAACAUGAGUAGUUUGCUCUUUCUUUCUGUGGCUUUUUAAUUUUGUGUUGUGAAAUAAAAUGAAUAUGGAAAUAAAGUUAAACA